Molecule: transfer RNA, 71 nt
Filed under: Loxodonta africana (African savanna elephant)
Lineage: Eukaryota; Metazoa; Chordata; Mammalia; Proboscidea; Elephantidae
Rfam family: tRNA
About the family: Transfer RNA (tRNA) molecules are approximately 80 nucleotides in length. Their secondary structure includes four short double-helical elements and three loops (D, anti-codon, and T loops). Further hydrogen bonds mediate the characteristic L-shaped molecular structure. tRNAs have two regions of fundamental functional importance: the anti-codon, which is responsible for specific mRNA codon recognition, and the 3' end, to which the tRNAs corresponding amino acid is attached (by aminoacyl-tRNA synthetases). tRNAs cope with the degeneracy of the genetic code in two manners: having more than one tRNA (with a specific anti-codon) for a particular amino acid; and 'wobble' base-pairing, i.e. permitting non-standard base-pairing at the 3rd anti-codon position.
Source: Rfam by way of RNAcentral
GCAGUGGUGGUUCAGUGGUAGAAUUCUUGCCUUCUAUGCAGGAGAUCUGUGUUCGAUUCCCGGACAGUGCA